AUUAAUAAAGCAAGGCACUGAAAAUGCCAAGAUGAGUCGCACGACUCCAUAAACA
This 55-nucleotide transfer RNA is filed under the name Canis lupus familiaris (dog). Its description in RNAcentral is "partial tRNA-Phe". The record is from RNAcentral. Lineage: Eukaryota; Metazoa; Chordata; Mammalia; Carnivora; Canidae.